AGUGAACGCUGGCGGUAGGCCUAACACAUGCAAGUCGAACGGCAGCACAGUAAGAGCUUGCUCUUACGGGUGGCGAGUGGCGGACGGGUGAGGAAUACAUCGGAAUCUACUUUUUCGUGGGGGUUAAGGAAGGGAAACUUACGCUAAUACCGCAUACGCCCUACGGUGGAAAGCAGGGGUUCUUCGGACCUUGCGCGUUUGAAUGACCCGAUGUCGGAUUAGCUAGUUGGCGGGGUAAAGGCCCACCAAGGCGACGAUCCGUAGCUGGUCUGAGAGGAUGAUCAGCCACACUGGAACUGAGACACGGUCCAGACUCCUACGGGAGGCAGCAGUGGGGAAUAUUGGACAAUGGGCGCAAGCCUGAUCCAGCCAUACCGCGUGGGUGAAGAAGGCCUUCGGGUUGUAAAGCCCUUUUGUUGGGAAAGAAAAGCAGCAGGUUAAUACCCCGCUGUUCUGACGGUACCCAAAGAAUAAGCACCGGCUAACUUCGUG
RNAcentral lists this ribosomal RNA (492 nucleotides) under uncultured bacterium. RNAcentral describes it as "partial 16S ribosomal RNA". It matches the Rfam family "Bacterial small subunit ribosomal RNA", at positions 29 to 507 of the family's 1533-position model. The record is from RNAcentral.